Molecule: non-coding RNA, 127 nt
Organism: Triticum aestivum (bread wheat)
Lineage: Eukaryota; Viridiplantae; Streptophyta; Magnoliopsida; Poales; Poaceae
Source: Rfam
CAUAUACUUCCUCUGUCCCAAAAUUCUUGUCUUAAAUUUGUCUAAAUAUGAAUGUAUCAAGUCACAUUUUAGUAUUAGAUACAUCCGUGUGUAGAAGACGAGAAUUUUGGGCCGGAGGGAGUAUUUU